This is a small nuclear RNA of Bombyx mandarina (wild silkworm), 169 nucleotides long. The record is from RefSeq and is a predicted model, not a curated record. Lineage: Eukaryota; Metazoa; Arthropoda; Insecta; Lepidoptera; Bombycidae.
AUACAUAUCUGGCGUAGGAUUACCGUGAUUAUGUAGGCGGUUCCCCCAGAGUGAGGCUGCUCCACUGCACUGCGGAGUGGUUGACCCUGGCGAUUAUUUAUAUUUUUUAUAAGUUUCACUUCUACUGAGUGUGACUUGUGCACCCACACUUUUUUUUAGUUGGAUCUAG